GGGGAUAUAACUCUGUGGUAGAGUGGUCACCUAGCAUGUGCAAAGCCCUGGGUUUAAUCCCCAGUAUCUCUC
This 72-nucleotide transfer RNA is filed under the name Ictidomys tridecemlineatus (thirteen-lined ground squirrel). RNAcentral's name for it is "Spermophilus tridecemlineatus (thirteen-lined ground squirrel) tRNA". It matches the Rfam family "tRNA". Rfam says of the family: Transfer RNA (tRNA) molecules are approximately 80 nucleotides in length. Their secondary structure includes four short double-helical elements and three loops (D, anti-codon, and T loops). The record is from Rfam by way of RNAcentral. Lineage: Eukaryota; Metazoa; Chordata; Mammalia; Rodentia; Sciuridae.